CAGCAGCCGCGGGAAUACGUAGGUGGCAAGCGUUGUCCGGAAUUAUUGGGCGUAAAGCGCGCGCAGGCGGAUCGGUCAGUCUGUCUUAAAAGUUCGGGGCUUAACCCCGUGAUGGGAUGGAAACUGCCAAUCUAGAGUAUCGGAGAGGAAAGUGGAAUUCCUAGUGUAGCGGUGAAAUGCGUAGAUAUUAGGAAGAACACCAGUGGCGAAGGCGACUUUCUGGACGAAAACUGACGCUGAGGCGCGAAAGCCAGGGGAGCGAAUGGGAUUAGAGACCCGAGUAGUCCCUGUCUCUUAUACA
This 301-nucleotide ribosomal RNA is filed under the name uncultured bacterium. RNAcentral's name for it is "partial 16S ribosomal RNA". It matches the Rfam family "Bacterial small subunit ribosomal RNA", at positions 509 to 809 of the family's 1533-position model. The record is from RNAcentral.